CAUCAGGAAGCUAUGCCAGCAUUAACCUUUUAAGUUAAAGACCGAGAGCACAACACUCUCCUUGAUGA
RNAcentral lists this transfer RNA (68 nucleotides) under Budorcas taxicolor taxicolor (Mishmi takin). RNAcentral describes it as "tRNA-Lys". The record is from RNAcentral. Lineage: Eukaryota; Metazoa; Chordata; Mammalia; Artiodactyla; Bovidae.